UGCAGUCGAGCGAGCUUGCCUAGAUGAAUUUGGUGCUUGCACCAGAUGAAACUAGAUACAAGCGAGCGGCGGACGGGUGAGUAACACGUGGGUAACCUGCCCAAGAGACUGGGAUAACACCUGGAAACAGAUGCUAAUACCGGAUAACAACACUAGACGCAUGUCUAGAGUUUAAAAGAUGGUUCUGCUAUCACUCUUGGAUGGACCUGCGGUGCAUUAGCUAGUUGGUAAGGUAACGGCUUACCAAGGCAAUGAUGCAUAGCCGAGUUGAGAGACUGAUCGGCCACAUUGGGACUGAGACACGGCCCAAACUCCUACGGGAGGCAGCAGUAGGAAAUCUUCCACAAUGGACGCAAGUCUGAUGGAGCAACGCCGCGUGAGUGAAGAAGGGUUUCGGCUCGUAAAGCUCUGUUGGUAGUGAAGAAAGAUAGAGGUAGUAACUGGCCUUUAUUUGACGGUAAUUACUUAGAAAGUCACGGCUAACUACGUGCCAGCAGCCGCGGUAAUACGUAGGUGGCAAGCGUUGUCCGGAUUUAUUGGGCGUAAAGCGAGUGCAGGCGGUUCAAUAAGUCUGAUGUGAAAGCCUUCGGCUCAACCGGAGAAUUGCAUCAGAAACUGUUGAACUUGAGUGCA
Molecule: ribosomal RNA, 633 nt
Filed under: uncultured bacterium
Lineage: Bacteria
Description: bacterial SSU rRNA
Rfam family: Bacterial small subunit ribosomal RNA
Source: RNAcentral